RNAcentral lists this ribosomal RNA (1316 nucleotides) under Staphylococcus aureus. Its description in RNAcentral is "partial 23S ribosomal RNA". It matches the Rfam family "Bacterial large subunit ribosomal RNA", at positions 1585 to 2904 of the family's 2925-position model. The record is from RNAcentral. Lineage: Bacteria; Bacillati; Bacillota; Bacilli; Caryophanales; Staphylococcaceae.
UUCGAGUCGUUGAUUUCACACUGCCGAGAAAAGCCUCUAGAUAGAAAAUAGGUGCCCGUACCGCAAACCGACACAGGUAGUCAAGAUGAGAAUUCUAAGGUGAGCGAGCGAACUCUCGUUAAGGAACUCGGCAAAAUGACCCCGUAACUUCGGGAGAAGGGGUGCUCUUUAGGGUUAACGCCCAGAAGAGCCGCAGUGAAUAGGCCCAAGCGACUGUUUAUCAAAAACACAGGUCUCUGCUAAACCGUAAGGUGAUGUAUAGGGGCUGACGCCUGCCCGGUGCUGGAAGGUUAAGAGGAGUGGUUAGCUUCUGCGAAGCUACGAAUCGAAGCCCCAGUAAACGGCGGCCGUAACUAUAACGGUCCUAAGGUAGCGAAAUUCCUUGUCGGGUAAGUUCCGACCCGCACGAAAGGCGUAACGAUUUGGGCACUGUCUCAACGAGAGACUCGGUGAAAUCAUAGUACCUGUGAAGAUGCAGGUUACCCGCGACAGGACGGAAAGACCCCGUGGAGCUUUACUGUAGCCUGAUAUUGAAAUUCGGCACAGCUUGUACAGGAUAGGUAGGAGCCUUUGAAACGUGAGCGCUAGCUUACGUGGAGGCGCUGGUGGGAUACUACCCUAGCUGUGUUGGCUUUCUAACCCGCACCACUUAUCGUGGUGGGAGACAGUGUCAGGCGGGCAGUUUGACUGGGGCGGUCGCCUCCUAAAAGGUAACGGAGGCGCUCAAAGGUUCCCUCAGAAUGGUUGGAAAUCAUUCAUAGAGUGUAAAGGCAUAAGGGAGCUUGACUGCGAGACCUACAAGUCGAGCAGGGUCGAAAGACGGACUUAGUGAUCCGGUGGUUCCGCAUGGAAGGGCCAUCGCUCAACGGAUAAAAGCUACCCCGGGGAUAACAGGCUUAUCUCCCCCAAGAGUUCACAUCGACGGGGAGGUUUGGCACCUCGAUGUCGGCUCAUCGCAUCCUGGGGCUGUAGUCGGUCCCAAGGGUUGGGCUGUUCGCCCAUUAAAGCGGUACGCGAGCUGGGUUCAGAACGUCGUGAGACAGUUCGGUCCCUAUCCGUCGUGGGCGUAGGAAAUUUGAGAGGAGCUGUCCUUAGUACGAGAGGACCGGGAUGGACAUACCUCUGGUGUACCAGUUGUCGUGCCAACGGCAUAGCUGGGUAGCUAUGUGUGGACGGGAUAAGUGCUGAAAGCAUCUAAGCAUGAAGCCCCCCUCAAGAUGAGAUUUCCCAACUUCGGUUAUAAGAUCCCUCAAAGAUGAUGAGGUUAAUAGGUUCGAGGUGGAAGCAUGGUGACAUGUGGAGCUGACGAAUACUAA